Molecule: ribosomal RNA, 400 nt
Filed under: uncultured bacterium
Lineage: Bacteria
Description: bacterial SSU rRNA
Rfam family: Bacterial small subunit ribosomal RNA
Source: RNAcentral
GGGGAAUAUUGCACAAUGGACGAAAGUCUGAUGCAGCAACGCCGCGUGGAGGAUGACACAUUUCGGUGCGUAAACUCCUUUUAUAUAGGAAGAUAAUGACGGUACUAUAUGAAUAAGCACCGGCUAACUCCGUGCCAGCAGCCGCGGUAAUACGGAGGGUGCAAGCGUUACUCGGAAUCACUGGGCGUAAAGAGCGUGUAGGCGGGUAUAUAAGUCAGAAGUGAAAUCCAAUAGCUUAACUAUUGAACUGCUUUUGAAACUGUAUACCUAGAAUGUGGGAGAGGUAGAUGGAAUUUCUGGUGUAGGGGUAAAAUCCGUAGAGAUCAGAAGGAAUACCGAUUGCGAAGGCGAUCUACUGGAACAUUAUUGACGCUGAGACGCGAAAGCGUGGGGAGCAAAC